AACGAACGCUGGCGGCAUGCCUAACACAUGCAAGUCGAACGGGAUCCUGGUUUCGGCCAGGUGAGAGUGGCGGACGGGUGAGUAACGCGUGGGAACCUGCCCAGUGGUGGGGGAGUAACUGCGGGAAACUGCAGCUAAUACCGCAUGAGCCCGAAAGGGGAAAGAUUGAUCGCCAUUGGAGGGGCCCGCGUUCGAUUAGGUAGUUGGUGAGGUAACGGCUCACCAAGCCUUCGAUCGANAGCUGGUCUGAGAGGAUGAUCAGCCACACUGGGACUGAGAUACGGCCCAGACUCCUACGGGAGGCAGCAGUGGGGAAUAUUGGACAAUGGGGGCGAACCCUGAUCCAGCAAUGCCGCGUGAGUGAUGAAGGCCUU
Molecule: ribosomal RNA, 374 nt
Filed under: uncultured bacterium
Lineage: Bacteria
Description: bacterial SSU rRNA
Rfam family: Bacterial small subunit ribosomal RNA
Source: RNAcentral